Non-coding RNA from Schizosaccharomyces pombe (fission yeast), 286 nucleotides. The record is from the annotation of a GenBank genome assembly. Lineage: Eukaryota; Fungi; Ascomycota; Schizosaccharomycetes; Schizosaccharomycetales; Schizosaccharomycetaceae.
AAGGAUAUGCUGUCAAUAUAAAAGGACUGGUGGUCUUUUUAAGGGAUAGUCCAUCUAUUGAAUUUUGCCCUUCAGCAGCAUUUGUUUUAGAGCCGGAAAAUGAGUUGUGAGAUGAAGAACUAGACAUUGCGUAUAAUUUAUGCUCUUGAAUAAUAAAAAUUUUUUAAACAAAUGGCCGCUAGUUGAGAUGGACGUUUUUUAGACAAUUUUACAAAUAUUUUUAAGGGGGAGAAUAAAGAAAAACAAAGACAAGUAAACAAGGAAAUAUCCUAAUAAUAAAGCACUA